GGGUAGAGGUGCAAAACUUAAAAGUAGGCUGUUGUGAGGAUGACAACUAUGAUCACAGCUAAAAGGAAGUUUUGCCGAAGUAUCAUUUGAAGUCAGGCAUAUGAUACUGGGGUUGUCUUGAAUAAGGACAGCACUGUCAUUAUAAAGAUUAUCUUUAUAAUGGUGAGCUACAGA
RNAcentral lists this non-coding RNA (174 nucleotides) under Bacillus massilioanorexius. Its description in RNAcentral is "Lysine riboswitch". It matches the Rfam family "Lysine riboswitch aptamer". From Rfam's summary of the family: Riboswitches are metabolite binding domains within certain messenger RNAs that serve as precision sensors for their corresponding targets. Allosteric rearrangement of mRNA structure is mediated by ligand binding, and this results in modulation of gene expression. The record is from RNAcentral. Lineage: Bacteria; Bacillati; Bacillota; Bacilli; Caryophanales; Bacillaceae.